This 429-nucleotide ribosomal RNA is filed under the name Chloroflexota bacterium. Its description in RNAcentral is "Chloroflexi bacterium partial 16S ribosomal RNA". It matches the Rfam family "Bacterial small subunit ribosomal RNA", at positions 355 to 776 of the family's 1533-position model. Lineage: Bacteria; Bacillati; Chloroflexota. The record is from RNAcentral.
UGGGGAAUAUUGCACAAUGGGCGCAAGCCUGAUGCAGCCAUGCCGCGUGUGUGAAGAAGGCCUUCGGGUUGUAAAGUACUUUCAGCGGGGAGGAAGGGAGUAAAGUUAAUACCUUUGCUCAUUGACGUUACCCGCAGAAGAAGCACCGGCUAACUCCGUGCCAGCAGCCGCGGUAAUACGGAGGGUGCAAGCGUUAAUCGGAAUUACUGGGCGUAAAGGGCACGCAGGCGGUUCGUUAAGUCAGAUGUGAAAACCCCGGGCUCAACCUGGGAACUGCAUCUGAUACUGGCAAGCUUGAGUCUCGUAGAGGGGGGUAGAAUUCCAGGUGUAGCGGUGAAAUGCGUAGAGAUCUGGAGGAAUACCGGUGGCGAAGGCGGCCCCCUGGACGAAGACUGACGCUCAGGUGCGAAAGCGUGGGGAGCAAACAGG